This 301-nucleotide ribosomal RNA is filed under the name uncultured bacterium. RNAcentral describes it as "partial 16S ribosomal RNA". It matches the Rfam family "Bacterial small subunit ribosomal RNA", at positions 509 to 807 of the family's 1533-position model. The record is from RNAcentral.
CAGUCGCCACGGUAAUACGUAGGGUGCAAGCGUUGUCCGGAAUUAUUGGGCGUAAAGAGCUCGUAGGCGGCUCGUCGCGUCGGCUGUGAAAACCUGGGGCUCAACCCCGGGCCUGCAGCCGAUACGGGCGAGCUAGAAUUCAGUAGGGGAGACUGGAAUUCCUGGUGUAGCGGUGAAAUGCGCAGAUAUCAGGAGGAACACCGGUGGCGAAGGCGGGUCUCUGGGCCGAUAUUGACGCUGAGGAGCGAAAGCGUGGGGAGCAAACAGGAUUAGAUACCCCCGUAGUCCCUGUCUCUUAUAC